CUGCCGCCAAGCUGCCCCGAGCGCCUCCCUCGCGGGCCGCGUCGCAGCCUGCCGCCGCCUCGCGCAGCUUUGCGGCCGACGACCGCCCCCACCUCGCAGGCCGACCUCCUCCCAAGCUCCCCCCGCGACCAGCACCUCCCUGGCCUGCUGCUCCUAGCCGAGCCGCUCCUUGCUCCUCGCAUGGUGCUGCUGCUGUUCUUGCGGCCCAGCUCGCCCAAGCCCAGCCGAGCCUCCUCCUUGGCCCAUCUUCUCUGGCCCGUCUCCAAGCCCAGCAAGCCCAGGCCCGUGUCCUUUUUCCUUUGUUUUAUUUCUUUUCCUGAAAUUGAUGCCUCACGUGUGGGCCCUGCUGGUCAGCGCCUCCGUGUGCUCGUUGUUGUGCUGCUAUUGCCGCUGC
This 394-nucleotide long non-coding RNA is filed under the name Brachypodium distachyon (stiff brome). Its description in RNAcentral is "long non-coding RNA (BDIS_LNC003682)". Lineage: Eukaryota; Viridiplantae; Streptophyta; Magnoliopsida; Poales; Poaceae. The record is from RNAcentral.